RNAcentral lists this ribosomal RNA (480 nucleotides) under uncultured bacterium. RNAcentral's name for it is "bacterial SSU rRNA". It matches the Rfam family "Bacterial small subunit ribosomal RNA", at positions 923 to 1396 of the family's 1533-position model. The record is from RNAcentral.
GCACAAGCGGUGGGAGUAUGUGGUUUAAUUCGGACGCAACGCGCAGAACCUUACCUGGUCUUGACAUCCCGGGCAAUCAUUUGGAAACAUUUGAGUGCCUCAUUAGAGGAGCCUGGUGACAGGUGCUGCAUGGCUGUCGUCAGCUCGUGUCGUGAGAUGUUGGGUUAAGUCCCGCAACGAGCGCAACCCUUAUCUUUAGUUGCCAUCAUUAAGUUGGGCACUCUACUGAGACUGCCGGUGUCAAACCGGAGGAAGGUGGGGAUGACGUCAAGUCCCCAUGGCCUUUAUGAUCAGGGCUACACACGUACUACAAUGGCCGAUACAAAGGGCAGCCACAGGGCGACCUGGAGCGAAUCCCGUAAAAUCGGUCUCAGUCCGGAUUGGAGUCUGCAACUCGACUCCAUGAAGUUGGAAUCGCUAGUAAUCGUGGAUCAGCAUGCCACGGUGAAUACGUUGCCCGGGCCUUGUACACACCGCCCG